UUUCACAGGAGUCCUUCGUUGGAAAGCCAUUUUAUCGUCGAUACGAAGGUAAGCUGACGCGAUUUUCUCGCUGCUUACCUUAACGGUGGGCAGCAAUCCUC
RNAcentral lists this non-coding RNA (101 nucleotides) under Enterobacter roggenkampii. Lineage: Bacteria; Pseudomonadati; Pseudomonadota; Gammaproteobacteria; Enterobacterales; Enterobacteriaceae. The record is from RNAcentral.